AAAGAUUAAGCCAUGCAAGUGUCAGUUCAACUCAUUUGAUGAGAAAACCGCGGAAAGCUCAUUACAACAGCCAUUGUUCACUUGAUGUUGACUAUCCUACUUGGAUAACUGUGGUAAUUCUAGAGCUAAUACAUGCAACUCUGCUCUGGUAGGCCCUCGGGCUGACGAGCGCAAUUAUUAGAACAAAACCAAUCGGGCUUCGGUCCGUCGGUUUGGUGGAUCUGAAUAACUACGCUGAUCGCACAGUCUUUGCACUGGCGACGUAUCUUUCAAGUGUCUGUCCUAUCAGCUGUCGAUGGUAUUCUAUACGAUUACCAUGGCUGUAACGGGUAACGGAGAAUAAGGGUUCGAUCCGGAGAGGGAGCCUGAGAAACGGCUACCACAUCCAAGGAAGCAGCAGGCA
This 403-nucleotide ribosomal RNA is filed under the name Procamacolaimus sp. 92L31C15. RNAcentral describes it as "bacterial SSU rRNA". It matches the Rfam family "Eukaryotic small subunit ribosomal RNA", at positions 39 to 434 of the family's 1831-position model. The record is from RNAcentral. Lineage: Eukaryota; Metazoa; Nematoda; Chromadorea; Plectida; Leptolaimidae.